Molecule: ribosomal RNA, 663 nt
Filed under: uncultured cyanobacterium
Lineage: Bacteria; Bacillati; Cyanobacteriota
Description: bacterial SSU rRNA
Rfam family: Bacterial small subunit ribosomal RNA
Source: RNAcentral
CGGACGGGUGAGUAACGCGUGAGAAUCUGGCUUCAGGUCUGGGACAACCACUGGAAACGGUGGCUAAUACCGGAUGUGCCGAAAGGUGAAAGGUUAACUGCCUGAAGAUGAGCCCGCGUCUGAUUAGCUAGUUGGAAGUGUAAUGGACUCCCAAGGCGACGAUCAGUAGCUGGUCUGAGAGGACGAUCAGCCACACUGGGACUGAGACACGGCCCAGACUCCUACGGGAGGCAGCAGUGGGGAAUUUUCCGCAAUGGGCGAAAGCCUGACGGAGCAAUACCGCGUGAGGGAGGAAGGCUCUUGGGUCGUAAACCUCUUUUCUCAGGGAAGAACACAAUGACGGUACCUGAGGAAUAAGCAUCGGCUAACUCCGUGCCAGCAGCCGCGGUAAUACGGAGGAUGCAAGCGUUAUCCGGAAUGAUUGGGCGUAAAGCGUCCGCAGGUGGCAAUGUAAGUCUGCUGUUAAAGAGUCUAGCUCAACUAGAUAAGAGCAGUGGAAACUACAUAGCUAGAGUACGUUCGGGGCAGAGGGAAUUCCUGGUGUAGCGGUGAAAUGCGUAGAGAUCAGGAAGAACACCAGUGGCGAAGGCGCUCUGCUAGGCCGUAACUGACACUGAGGGACGAAAGCUAGGGGAGCGAAUGGGAUUAGAUACCCCAGUAGUC